GGCUAAUACCGCAUAAUGUCGCAAGACCAAAGUGGGGGACCUUCGGGCCUCACACUACCGGAUGAACCCAGAUGGGAUUAGCUAGUUGGUGGGGUAACGGCUCACCAAGGCGACGAUCCCUAGCUGGUCUGAGAGGAUGACCAGCCACACUGGAACUGAGACACGGUCCAGACUCCUACGGGAGGCAGCAGUGGGGAAUAUUGCACAAUGGGCGCAAGCCUGAUGCAGCCAUGCCGCGUGUAUGAAGAAGGCCUUCGGGUUGUAAAGUACUUUCAGCGGGGAGGAAGGGAGUGAGGUUAAUAACUUCAUUCAUUGACGUUACCCGCAGAAGAAGCACCGGCUAACUCCGUGCCAGCAGCCGCGGUAAUACGGAGGGUGCAAGCGUUAAUCGGAAUUACUGGGCGUAAAGCGCACGCAGGCGGUCUGUUAAGUCAGAUGUGAAAUCCCCGGGCUCAACCCGGGAACUGCAUUUGAAACUGGCAGGCUUGAGUCUCGUAGAGGGGGGUGGAAUUCCAGGUGUAGCGGUGAAAUGCGUAGAGAUCUGGAGGAAUACCGGUGGCGAAGGCGGCCCCCUGGACGAAGACUGACGCUCAGGUG
This 597-nucleotide ribosomal RNA is filed under the name Erwinia sp. DH37. RNAcentral's name for it is "bacterial SSU rRNA". It matches the Rfam family "Bacterial small subunit ribosomal RNA", at positions 161 to 753 of the family's 1533-position model. Lineage: Bacteria; Pseudomonadati; Pseudomonadota; Gammaproteobacteria; Enterobacterales; Erwiniaceae. The record is from RNAcentral.